AUACGGAGGGUGCAAGCGUUACUCGGAAUCACUGGGCGUAAAGGAUGCGUAGGCUGGAUGUCAAGUUGGAAGUGAAAUCCUAUGGCUUAACCAUAGAACUGCUUCCAAAACUGGCAACCUAGAGUGAAGGAGAGGCAGAUGGAAUUAGUGGUGUAGGGGUAAAAUCCGUAGAUAUCACUAGGAAUACCGAUUGCGAAGGCGAUCUGCUAGAACUCUACUGACGCUAAGGCAUGAAAGCGUGGGGAGCAAACAGGAUUAGAAACCCGAGUAGUCC
RNAcentral lists this ribosomal RNA (274 nucleotides) under uncultured bacterium. RNAcentral describes it as "partial 16S ribosomal RNA". It matches the Rfam family "Bacterial small subunit ribosomal RNA", at positions 523 to 796 of the family's 1533-position model. The record is from RNAcentral.